GUAUCUCGAUAUGAAAUUUGAAUAUUUCAUGUUUUCUACAUAUAAUGCAUUGUUGCUGUACCAUCGGUAGCAAUUUCAGUGGUAUCCUUUUGCACAGCCCCACCAGCCUCAAGUUCAGCAGUGAAAAGGGUGUUCGACAGUAAGAUCAGAUGUUUCUCAUUCUGAAACUUAGGGCCUAGCACCAUCACCUUACAGUCACGCCGUCAUGGUAAAAGUGAGAGUUGUAUCCUUUUGUCCAGUCUCCAGCAACACAUCAGUAUUAGUAAUAGAUCGAUUAAUCCAAUGGCUGUUCUAGCACAUUCAAGAUGAUAUGCAUUAUCCUUUCCCUUGAGCUUACGUGUCCGAAAUCAUUCUUGAAUAGUCUUCUCACUACAAUGUGCUCUGUAGUACAACAUCAGGUUUCAUGGUUUGAGUUUAACAGUGUAUUAGCCCUUUGGUAUGUUCUAAUUAGCACAUUAAUCUUGAGUUCUUCCAUCAAUUUGUAUUAUUUGAAGUUCUCAACGUAAAGUUGAUCCUGCUCAGGAUUACUCCCUCCGGUCCUUUUUAAUUGACUCGAAUUUAGUACAAAGUUGUACUAAAUCCAAGUCAAUUAAAAGAGACCGGAGGGAGUACUUCUUAACGGUCUUUUCCAAGCUUUUCACAUGUUUCUCUUCUUUCAAAUGUAUAUACAUGUUUAUCAGCAAAUUCAACUGAUAAUAUGCCAUGUUUGUGAAAUUUAGAUGUUGGUACCUGGGAGAUAUAUUUCAGUGUCCAGAAUUAUGAUAAUUUUGAACAUGGUUAAUUUAAUAUGGAGGACCACACAUGGACCUAAAACAAGGUCAACCAUUCAAAAAAAAAGGUCAGCACACCAUAUUUCUUACAUACGUACUUCAGGGUUUUGUAUACGGGUAGAAAGCUAAAAAUAGUAAGAUUUAUUGCUUAUUACACAACUUGAUGUGCAAAAAUUCAUUUGCCUUCUUUGUAAAAAAAUAUUCAGCUUUAAUUGAAAUCACAGAGAAACGCAAUGGAAGGUUAUGGGCCAAGGAACCGCAUUGACCAGUUUAGAGACUGGCAAGUUUAUAUAUGGACCAGUUAUUUAUAAUGGUAGAUCAUCUGGGAGCAACCAUGCAAGGUUGUGACCAAACAAUCCUGUAGAAGAGUUGGGAAAAGAACUGGAAGGGCCCAUUUAUACAUACGAACUGUUCAUUAUCAUAAAAGCCUGGAAUACACAUAGAUAUGGAGAUCACCGAUACGUAAUUCACUGCACACAGCGAAUCUCCUGUUCGGGGCAGCCGUUGGGUGCUACAAUUGGACCCGUGGGUAAUCAUUUGUCCGCGCUGGCUUUUGCUUAUGUUGGCGGGUUUCUUCAAAUUAUUGCAGACAAUAUAGCUUCCUUCUUCUUGCUGAAUUCCUUAUAAUCCAGUUCUACAGAUGGCAUUAUCUGCUUUACAUGAUCAGCAUGAAGUCCAUAUACAAUUGCUUAAUUAUGUUUCCAAGUAAGUGCGAAUUUUUUCCUUUCAUUUGCAACUCUCUUGGAUGAAAUUAGUUCUAUAAGAUCAUCAUAAAAAAACACUGCAGAAACCCCACUUUUAACAAGUCUACACCAGCAGGAAAACUAUACUAAGUUGGACACAUGCUUCCAGUUUCUGAAACCUGUAAAAGUAAUUCUUGCUGUAUAAGUUACUGAAGAAAGGCCAGUUGUCUUCAGUAUAAAUUAAAAAUUCAUCUCUGAUCAAUGUUCCAGGGAAAUACAUUGGAUGGCUGUGUGCCAAGCAACCACAUAGGUCAAUUCAGAGGCUAAUUGAAGAAAGAUCCGAUCUUUCAUUUGAGAUGUUCAUCAUCUCUCAAGCAUGAAGAAAGAUCCAAGAAAUUUUAUGUACCUUGAUAAUUUUGCAAUGCUGCGUACAAUGCGCAACAGUUUGGAGCUCUAGCAGCACACAUUGGAGAUAAUGCUCUUCUUUCAGGCAAAUAUAAUUAAUCUACAACAACUGAGUCCAGCUAAAGGUCAAACGAGCAAAAUCCCAGAUUGAUGAGCCAAAUAGUUCAUGUGGAAAAAUAUAUUUUGUGUCUAGGCGUGGCCACAAACCUGACAAACCUGAUGUAAAAUAUAGUCAUCUAUUUGCAGCUGUGGCCAGUAUGAAUGGCAUGCAGCUAAUGUAAUAUUGAGUGGACCUUAUCAGGCUACUAUGAGCACUCUGUACGACUAUGACAAACGCUAUUACUGAA
Long non-coding RNA from Lolium rigidum, 2205 nucleotides. RefSeq lists it as uncharacterized. The record is from RefSeq and is a predicted model, not a curated record. Lineage: Eukaryota; Viridiplantae; Streptophyta; Magnoliopsida; Poales; Poaceae. The transcript has 3 exons.